This is an RNA transcript of Phlebotomus argentipes, 4031 nucleotides long. It is a transcript of the gene named ammonium transporter Rh type B, with no coding region annotated. The record is from RefSeq and is a predicted model, not a curated record. NCBI's taxonomy places the organism in Eukaryota, Metazoa, Arthropoda, Insecta, Diptera, Psychodidae. The transcript is spliced from 5 exons.
CGCGUCGAAAACAUGCUGGGAAGGCCGCAUCAGAUUUCCCGGCUCAAUAGACUCGAUGCUUUACUUGUGAAUAUUAGAUUCUUUUCGCAUUUGGGUUUCAAAAGCAAGGCAAUUCAUUUAUGAUCUCAAGUGGAUGGGCCAUUUGGAUUUUCUGAAAAUGACCAUCAAACUAUUAAAAUUGGCAAUAAAUUAUCUAAACCACGAUAGAGAAUGCUGAACCAAUAUGAACCCUCAGAAAAAAUACAUACAUUAAAGUAAUUGCAAUGGACACGACAUCGAGAGAGAAUUUUCCUAUUUGAAAGUGUAAUUUCAGAGGAAAUGAACUCUUAAACUCUUCCUGUGAAUUAUUUGCAGAAUACCAUUUACCAUUCCACCUCAAGCAUUUUUUUGUAAGUACAUUUGGGCACAUUAUUUGAUGGGAAGGUGAGUAAUUGCAAAAGUUCAGGGUGAUGAAAAUGUGUUUUCCAUACUGGAGGAAACUUGUAAGAGUGAGUAUUCACUUCCAUGCAUUCUUCAUGAGACUACAGUCAAUCAACCCAAUCAACGAUGACCAAGAAAUGCGACAAAUAAACAGACGAUUAGAGACACGCAGAGCAAUAGAGAAAAUCGAAGUGCACAAAUUCAUUGACUUCCACCGACUCUUUAUGAAGAUUGUAAAAAGUGCUUCGCUCGUUUAUGAAGGAAUUUCCUAUUAUGGUGAUUGGUUUUUGGUAAAUAUCAAUCAUUUUCAUCGAAUAUUUUCCAAAAUUAAUGAUCAGAUCAACGGCAAUAAUGGUACAUGUUUUAGAUGAGUUUAAGGUAAACAAUCUUUUGAAAUUCAAACAGACUUGGUGAAUUUUAUCAUCAAAGAUUUAAUUGAAUUGUCUGUAGUCUUACCCUAAAUUGUCUUUUACCGCGAGCUCUUUAAUUAUUAACACCAGAGUCACGGCAUAACAAAAGAAUCACGAAAAAACUGUUUAUGUGGGUAGUUUUGGGUAGUUCUCGCUAGUAAUGUUGUCAAACAUUUUACUACCAGUUGACACUUUCGUGGGGAUAAUCAGUGUCUCACUAUCUCUCCGAAUUAAGUUGGUAGAAGAAUUAGGAAUUUUUAGACAGUAAAUCACUUGAAACCAGACAUUCCUAGCAUAAACAUCUUCCGUAGCUCUGCCCACCGUGAGAUAUACAGAAUAAUAAGUCAACAGAUUUGCAGAGUGAAUCUAAAAUUAAAGUCAUUAAAUCAAACAUUCAUUGUUGAAAGUUCCCCAACUCUUUUGCCCCCAGUGUGAUAAUAAAAAAUUCAACAGCAAAGCGUAGCGCUCACGAGUUCAAUUGUACAACCAUGUCUACUUUAUACGAUCAGUCGAGAAUUGCCCGCGAAGAGAGUAGCAUCCCAGUGAAGCAGAGCUUGAGGAAGGAUGCCCAAUCUCUAACGUACUCCUUCAGUGAGACUUCCAAGCAUAAUUUCCCAGUGAAUACCCAAAAUUUCAUCAAAAUGCACACUCCAAUAUCCUCCAUCGCAGGCUUCAUUGCAAUUCUCGUGGUGCAAAUAAUAUUCGGAAUUGUUUUUGGUGCCUUCUCGGAGUAUGGCAAGGAAAUCCUUCCCCAUAAGGAUGGGGAACCCGCUUUGCCCACAAACCUGGGAAGCUAUCCACACUUUCAAGACAUUCAUGUAAUGAUCUUCAUUGGUUUUGGAUUCCUGAUGACCUUCCUCAAAAAAUACGGAUACAGUGCGACGGGAUUCAAUCUUCUGGUGGCAUCACUGAUGGUGCAAUGGGCCCUUAUUGCCCGAGGCUGCUUCGAAAUGGAAGAUGGAAAAAUAAGGCUCACUCUAGGAGGAAUGAUUGGAGCUGACAUAGCCGCUGCCACUGUUCUCAUUUCCAUGGGAGCACUCUUGGGCAGAACAACCCCUAUUCAACUUUUGGUGAUGGGCCUCUUCGAAAUAGCUGUCUUUGCGGCCAACGAGUAUCUCCAGCUUGAGUACAUGAAGAUUGCUGACGUUGGAGGAUCAAUCACGGUACAUGCUUUUGGUGCUUACUUCGGUUUAGCCGUGAGUUUCAUCCUACGUCCCAAGAAGAGUGAUCUCGCGAUCACCAAUAACCUCGAAGGUCCGUCUUACACAUCAGACAUCUUCGCCAUGGUUGGAACGAUCUUCCUCUGGAUUUUCUGGCCUAGCUUCAAUUCGGCUCUGGUGGCAGGAGCUGAUCAAGAGAGAGCGAUCUUGAACACUUAUCUGGGAUUAGCGGCUGCCACGGUGGUCAGCUUUGUCUUAUCCGUUCUGGUCAGUCACGAGCACAAGCUGGAUAUGGUUCACGUGCAAAACUCUACUCUGGCAGGAGGAGUGGCUGUGGGAUCAGUUUGCAAUCUGCUAAUUCAUCCAUACGGAGCAGUUCUCAUCGGUUCCUUGGCAGGAUUGAUUUCAGUUCUUGGAUACCGAUAUUUGUCGCCAGGAAUGCUUAACAAACUACGCCUGGAUGACACUUGUGGUGUUCAUAAUCUUCACGGAAUGCCCGCCGUACUAUCAGCAAUCUUCUCAGCAAUCUUUGCGGCUGCAGCUACAACCACUGAGUAUGGUGACUCACUUUACAACAUAUUCCCAGCCAUGCAAUCGCGAAAUUCAACUGAUUUGAUGGAAGAUGGACAUCACUCAGAGCCGACUCCAUUCGGGGGAUACGGACGUAGUGCAGUUGAACAGGCAGGAUAUCAACUUCUGGGAAUCCUCUCCACUGUUGCAAUCGCGAUCGUCGGCGGACUACUCACAGGCGUAUUCUUGCGAUCUCCGAGCGUUCGCAUAAUUCCCAGAGACAAGCAACACGACGAUGAAGAUUCAUGGGAGGUUCCAGCCCCAUAGAAACAACACUAAAAUGUUCUACUCCCAAUGUUACAUAACGCUUCUCAAUGAAAAUUUCGAAUCUAAUUUACAAUACAUCGCCAAAUCCAUAUAUUUACUUUUGGUGUUAAAACUAUUUCUCAUAUUGUGAAAAUUCAUCUACGAGACGUUCAAUUUGUCUGUGUUUAUUUCACUCAUUAGCAUUGUCUAUUAUAAAUUAACCACCGUUGAAAAUCUGAGUUUCCUUAUGAUAUAUAUAUUCACCAAUUUAUUCCGCAGCAUACUAUUCCCAAAGUGUCUCUGUGUAACUUUCUGUUUUGUCAAAAAUUUACUUGAUGAUAGAGAAAAUAAAGUCUCUGAAGUUAAUGUAUAUGGAAAGGUUGAACUUGGGACUCUGCCGAAAAUAUUUGUUGAUGAUCUGUUAGGCGGAUUGGGAGGAAAAAGGCAAGAAAAAACCAACCAUUGUCCCUUCUUAUCAAGGGAAAAAUAUCGAAUGGCUCAUCACUUUUUCUACGCUUAUUUGCACUUCUCAACCAUUGUCCACACUGAUACAAAAUCUUUAUUGAUUUGAGCACAGUAUAGGAGGAAACAAUUCAAGAGUCAACAUAAGAUUAUUGCUCGGGCUUUAUUGUUCCAAUGUAUCUCGAAGAAAUGUGUUAGAAGAGCAGUAAUGUAACUAACCAUGUGAAAUCUUAAAAUUAUAUAAUAAUUUCUGAGUAUAUAAGACACUAUACUAAACAUUAUAAAAGCGCUCAAAAAAUAUUGCACAUCAAUUUAGUUGUCUCACAACCUAUAUGAAGGUUUUAAUUCUUCACUUCCGCCCAUUUAUUCUACCAAACUAAAACCAUUAAGUACACCAUCAGAAGAUAUUUUAUAGAAAAUUGAUAAGAGCAUCAAAUUAAAGUGAAAUCGGACAUGGUCAAUUGUAAAAAUUCAGUUGAAAACUUCCUCGGGCAUCCGUCACUAAGAAAUAUUUUCAGUUCUGUAGAUAUAAUGAAUGAAUUGAGAAAGAGAAGAACCCAAAUCAGGGACCACGGCCAGGGCAACGAAUUAAGGAGGGGUCACUCACGGCAUCAACAAUCCGACCAGGAAGCUGUCGAUGGUGACAAUAAAAUAUUGGCGCACAACAACAAAAGGAUCGAUUGAAAACGGACCACACCAAAUCCCAUUUUGGGAAAAUUCGGACCAAAUCCUCUGCAUGCAUGAAAGAGACAGUGAUGGUGAA